Molecule: ribosomal RNA, 501 nt
Filed under: uncultured bacterium
Lineage: Bacteria
Description: partial 16S ribosomal RNA
Rfam family: Bacterial small subunit ribosomal RNA
Source: RNAcentral
AUUGAACGCUGGCGGCAUGCCUUACACAUGCAAGUCGAACGGCAGCACGGGUGCUUGCACCUGGUGGCGAGUGGCGAACGGGUGAGUAAUACAUCGGAACGUACCUUAUCGUGGGGGAUAACGCAGCGAAAGCUGUGCUAAUACCGCAUACGCCCUGAGGGGGAAAGCGGGGGAUCGCAAGACCUCGCGCGAUUAGGGCGGCCGAUGCCUGAUUAGCUUGUUGGUGGGGUAAAAGCCCACCAAGGCGGCGAUCAGUAGCUGGUCUGAGAGGACGAUCAGCCACACUGGGACUGAAACACGGUCCAGACUCCUACGGGAGGCAGCAGUGGGGAAUUUUGGACAAUGGGGGCAACCCUGAUCCAGCAAUGCCGCGUGAGUGAAGAAGGCCUUCGGGUUGUAAAGCUCUUUUGUCAGGGAAGAAACACCGGCUCUAACACAGUCCGGGAAUGACGGUACCUGAAGAAUAAGCACCGGCUAACUACGUGCCAGCAGCCGCAGUAA